This 568-nucleotide ribosomal RNA is filed under the name uncultured bacterium. Its description in RNAcentral is "bacterial SSU rRNA". It matches the Rfam family "Bacterial small subunit ribosomal RNA", at positions 338 to 916 of the family's 1533-position model. The record is from RNAcentral.
CCUACGGGAGGCAGCAGUGGGGAAUAUUGGACAAUGGGCGGAAGCCUGAUCCAGCAACGCCGCGUGAGGGAUGACGGCCUUCGGGUUGUAAACCUCUUUCACCCAUGACGAAGCGCAAGUGACGGUAGUGGGAGAAGAAGCACCGGCCAACUACGUGCCAGCAGCCGCGGUAAUACGUAGGGUGCGAGCGUUGUCCGGAAUUAUUGGGCGUAAAGGGCUCGUAGGCGGUUUGUCGCGUCGGGAGUGAAAACACACAGCUUAACUGUGUGCUUGCUUUUGAUACGGGCAGACUGGAGGUAUGCAGGGGAGAACGGAAUUCCUGGUGUAGCGGUGAAAUGCGCAGAUAUCAGGAGGAACACCGGUGGCGAAGGCGGUUCUCUGGGCAUUACCUGACGCUGAGGAGCGAAAGUGUGGGGAGCGAACAGGAUUAGAUACCCUGGUAGUCCACACCGUAAACGUUGGGCGCUAGGUGUGGGAUCCAUUCCACGGGUUCCGUGCCGCAGCUAACGCAUUAAGCGCCCCGCCUGGGGAGUACGGCCGCAAGGCUAAAACUCAAAUGAAUUGACGG